CCCCUAGAUGUUCUGGGCCGCACGCGUGCUACACUGAGUAAAUCAAUGGGUAAGGGAACACGAAAGUGCAACCUAAUCUUCAAAUUUGCUCGUGAUGGGGAUCGACGGUUGCAAUUUUCCGUCGUGAACGAGGAAUACCUUGUAGGCGCGUGUCAUCAUCACGCGCCGAAUACGUCCCUGCCCUUUGUACACACCGCCCGUCGCUCCUACCGAUUGAGUGAUCCGGUGAGGCUCUGGGACCUGGACGGAAAGAGCGUUUCGCUUGUUCUGUUUGGGAAACUUGGUCGAACCUUAUCAUUUAGAGGAAGGAGAAGUCGUAACA
RNAcentral lists this ribosomal RNA (322 nucleotides) under uncultured eukaryote. RNAcentral describes it as "partial 18S ribosomal RNA". It matches the Rfam family "Eukaryotic small subunit ribosomal RNA", at positions 1470 to 1796 of the family's 1831-position model. The record is from RNAcentral.